CCUACGGGGCGCACCAGUGGGGAAUAUUGCACAAUGGGCGCAAGCCUGAUGCAGCCAUGCCGCGUGUAUGAAGAAGGCCUUCGGGUUGUAAAGUACUUUCAGCGGGGAGGAAGGCGAUAAGGUUAAUAACCUUGUCGGUUGACGUUACCCGCAGAAGAAGCACCGGCUAACUCCGUGCCAGCAGCCGCGGUAAUACGGAGGGUGCAAGCGUUAAUCGGAAUUACUGGGCGUAAAGCGCACGCAGGCGGUCUGUCAAGUCGGAUGUGAAAUCCCCGGGCUCAACCUGGGAACUGCAUUCGAAACUGGCAGGCUGGAGUCUUGUAGAGGGGGGUAGAAUUCCAGGUGUAGCGGUGAAAUGCGUAGAGAUCUGGAGGAAUACCGGUGGCGAAGGCGGCCCCCUGGACAAAGACUGACGCUCAGGUGCGAAAGCGUGGGGAGCAAACAGGAUUAGAUACCCCGGUAGUC
Molecule: ribosomal RNA, 465 nt
Filed under: uncultured bacterium
Lineage: Bacteria
Description: bacterial SSU rRNA
Rfam family: Bacterial small subunit ribosomal RNA
Source: RNAcentral